GAAAGAGCAGGCUUCACUUAGACAAAGUUGCGCUGUGAGCGCCCCUCCAGCGUUUGGUUUCAUCCAGCAUUUACUGGGUUAACCUUGAAGCCGAAGCGCGGGGGAGGGGUGGUUCUCCGGAACUUGGACAUCAUUGGCUACGGGUAACCCUGGUAACGCCAUACUUGGGCCUUUUCCGCCUUGCUGGGGCAGAAACGGCGCUAAGGCUUAUGGCCUCCAUCUUAGAACCUCCACUUUACUUUCGGUUUUGCGUGUAGCGAGUUGUGCCUCAUAGAAGAGGAGAAAAAUAUUCUUCGCUCAGAAGUUGGAGCAGAACCCUUUUCGGACCAUUGUGGACGUACCGCGUGCUUUGGACCGAAACGUUUUUUUGGAUUACAUUCGCUGGAUUAUAACAAACAGAAUGAGACCGCACUCGACGUGACUGAGCGACGUUUGGGGCUCAGCAGUCGUCAAAAGUUCCAUUUUCCUCCGGCAGGAAGAAUGGAGGCAGUUUGGACACGGCUCAUCACAACAGCUGAGCGUGAUCAUGAAAGGGCAGCGCGACCCUGCGGGUUUUAUCUGAGCAGCGCUUUGUGUCCGGCUCCCACAUCUAAUACACAAUUAUCUGCCUUGUUUUCAUUUGUUUCGACAGAAUCUCUGAGGGCAGGAAAUUGAAUUUAAGCCCCUGCUGUGAGAUUUGUGCUGCUUAAAGAAGGACCAACACGUGUUGACAGACAAAAGCCCAGGACGCUGCUCCGGCCGCACUUUGGAAUGAGCUGGACUCAUCCGGAAACACUGACACCAGCUCAAACCACAAACGCUGUUCACUAAAUUCUUGUUGUGUGAGAUUAAUUUAUUAAAGUGGUAAUUUUUCCCUCUGCAGCGUGAAGCAUCGACGGAAAAACCUGCUGUAAAUAUUUAACUUUAAUUAAAACCGUUUCAGCAAAAUUCCUCAUUUCCAGCAUGUAAACAAGAGAAAAUUGAAGGAAUCAGCAGCUUAAAGUCUCCAUUUUUAGAAUAAUGUGAUUGUGCUGGAUUUUCAGAUGACAGACCCUCCUCUGCCUGUCCGACACUAGUUCAGCCAGACCCACUCAGCUGCUGCCCGGACAGAAGCGCUUCGCCUGAAUCCGUCAUUAUCCCUCAUGUUGUAGGUCUCUCGGGGCUGGACCGGGUCCGAGUGCUGGUGGUUCUGGCUUCUUUACCUUCUCUCCUCGUGUAGGUGCUUGUUGUCUUGUGUUUGGACCUGCACAUUCUGUCCAGUGAUCAGGUAAAAGCAGCCUGACCCACUGUACUGGUCUGCAGCUGGACCUGCGACAGGCCAGUAACACCAGUCCAGUCCAGUCCAGACUGACCUUCUCCCGGACAUCCCUCCGUCUCAAAGCUGAAUUUCACAUGCGCUCAUAUAUAUUCAGCUGAAGCUCAGGAGAGCUCUUCCUCGUCCAGCGCUGCUCGCACUAAUCACAGACCUGCAGCACCAGGUCGGCCACUGAUAACAAGCCUCAGCCGUCCUGACAGACGGCGCUGUUCAUUAUCCCACAUGCUGUAGGACCGCGGUGUGGGAUGGACUGAAUAAUGUGUAUGUGCUGUUAUUGGCCGGGACCUCGUUAGGAGCCUGAUGUCUGUUUGUUAAACUGAAGGUCACAGCGUCGCCGUCAUGGUUUCACUGUGUACAGUU
Molecule: long non-coding RNA, 1654 nt
Filed under: Betta splendens (Siamese fighting fish)
Lineage: Eukaryota; Metazoa; Chordata; Actinopteri; Anabantiformes; Osphronemidae
Description: lncRNA (ENSBSLG00000008181.1)
Source: RNAcentral